Molecule: ribosomal RNA, 518 nt
Filed under: Anischys luteovarius
Lineage: Eukaryota; Metazoa; Arthropoda; Insecta; Hemiptera; Acanthosomatidae
Description: partial 16S ribosomal RNA
Rfam family: Bacterial large subunit ribosomal RNA
Source: RNAcentral
GUCUUAUUGUAUAUUUUUAUUAAGUCUGGCCUGCCCAAUGAUUUAUAUUUAAUGGCCGCAGUAUUUUGACUGUGCAAAGGUAGCAUAAUCAUUUGUCUCUUAAUUGGGGACUUGUAUGAAUGGUUUAAUGAGAUGCAGUCUUUCUUUAUAUAACUUUGAUUAACUUAAUUUUUUAGUUAAAAAGCUAAAAUAUAUUUAUGGGACGAGAAGACCCUAUAGAAUUUUAUAUUAACUAUUAUAAUAUAUUUUUUGGUAAUUAUUAAUUUAAUUAUAAUCAUUAAUAUUUCAUUGGGGUGAUGGGAAAAUUUUUUCAACUUUUUUUAUUUAAAUUUUUAUUAAUUAAUAUAUUAAUGAUCCUACUUUGUGGAUAAUAAGAUUAAAUUACCUUAGGGAUAACAGCGUAAUUCUUCUGGAGAGUUCAUAUCGAUAGAUGAGAUUGCGACCUCGAUGUUGGAUUAAAAUAAGUAUUAGGUGUAGGUGCUUAAUUACUAGGUCUGUUCGACCUUUAAUUUUUUACA